Parus major (Great Tit) is the source of this 878-nucleotide long non-coding RNA. RefSeq lists it as uncharacterized. The transcript is spliced from 2 exons. The record is from RefSeq and is a predicted model, not a curated record. NCBI's taxonomy places the organism in Eukaryota, Metazoa, Chordata, Aves, Passeriformes, Paridae.
GAUCCCCGCGGCCGCCUGUGCUCACCAGCCUUGGCUUUGGCGUGCGGGGUUUCCCGGUGUUUUCCCUCCCGGCGCUUACCGGGACGGCGCUGUUCAUCCCGCCCCUCGUGAACAGCCGGGCAGGGCCACAGGCCCGCCGUGUCCAUGUGCUUUAGAGUAAGGACUUGUGCUGGAAGUAAGAAAAACCUGUGUGUUGUAGGAACCGUUUUCUGGUCUGGGAACGUUUAGGGUUACAGGUAAUUGACAGAAAUAAAAUACUUCGUCAUGAAUGUGCAGCACCCCCAGAUGAAAUUUAGAAGAUCAUCGGAGACCUCUGCAGUCUCUGCACAGCCUCCACAGCCAAGCUGAGCUCCCCUCACCUAAGGCACAGCCCCCAGAUCUGCCUAAAGAAAUUCUGCAAGAUUUGGAGCCCUGGUUUUCUGCAAGAAAAUUUUUCUUUUCCAGGCCAAAGUGAAUCCUGCACCUUUUUUGGUGUCAUUUCAGCUGGAGCCUGAGAACACAGUGACUUGCAGAAGCAACAAUCAAAGCUGGCUAUGACUUGACUGCCCUGCUUUGGCAAGCACCUGGUCCAGUUCAUGCUUUGUUGCCAUCCUGGCAACAAACUAACCCAUGAUGGCUCUUUGUGUACUUUUUUUACUUGUUUUAUUGAGGAUUAAUUAGUGUUUGUGUAGUGACACAGCUGUCUGGUGCUGCAUGGACACAGCUGAAGGCGAAGGCCUUCGGGCUAUGCUGUGGUUUCCAAAUUCCUGUGUUAUGGCUACUGUAAUGCAUAUCCUCGAAGUGAAACAAACAUUUCUGACUGAUUUAUGACUUUUGACUGCCAGCUUUCAGUCUUGUGCUUAGAGGAAGGAGAGAAGAAGAUGCAGUAUCAAAACCAA